RNAcentral lists this ribosomal RNA (689 nucleotides) under Nematocarcinus parvus. Its description in RNAcentral is "SSU rRNA". It matches the Rfam family "Eukaryotic small subunit ribosomal RNA", at positions 1144 to 1804 of the family's 1831-position model. RNAcentral also lists the same sequence under 1 other name. Lineage: Eukaryota; Metazoa; Arthropoda; Malacostraca; Decapoda; Nematocarcinidae. The record is from RNAcentral.
UUAAAGGAAUUGACGGAAUGGCACCACCAGGAGUGGAGCCUGCGGCUUAAUUUGACUCAACACGGGGAACCUCACCAGGCCCGGACACCAGAAGGAUUGACAGAUUAAGAGCUCUUUCUCGAUUUGGUGGGUGGUGGUGCAUGGCCGUUCUUAGUUGGUGGAGUGAUUUGUCUGGUUAAUUCCGGUAACGAACGAGACUCUGGCCUAUUAAAUAGUCGACGUGGGUUUUGGUGCAUGGGCCCCGUUCGAUAAUGUCUUCUUAGAGGGAUGAGCAGCGAGUAUAGCUGCAGGAGAUUGAGCAAUAACAGGUCUGUGAUGCCCUUAGAUGUCCUGGGCCGCACGCGCGCUACACUGAAUGGAUUAGCGGGUUCUCCUUCUCCGAGAGGAGCGGGAAAUCGCGUGAAAACCAUUCGUGAUAGGGAUUGGGGCUUGCAAUUGUUUCCCAUGAACGAGGAAUUCCCAGUAAGCGCAAGUCAUCAGCUUGCGUUGAUUAAGUCCCUGCCCUUUGUACACACCGCCCGUCGCUACUACCGAUUGAAUGAUUUAGUGAGGCCUUCGGACUGGCGGUCUUGGACUGGGCUCCGCUCGCUACUACUCCAGCAAUGGGGGGCGGCGGACUCGCCAUGACGUGCCGGAAAGAUGUCCAAACUUGAUCAUUUANAGGAAGUAAAAAUCGUAACAAGGUUUCC